UUUGGGGGUUUUCGAUCGUUGCAGUGUCGAUUUGCCCUUUGGUUUAUGACCGUAGGUUCUUUCGAGGUCAUUUGAGUUUGACGCUUUCUCUCGGUGCUCGAGCUUGGGGGUCCGAACUUCUCGUUACCUUGAAGAGGUCGAUUUAUCCUCGGCCCAUGUCAGGUUCCCUCUUAGCGAUUGGGACGAAGUUCCUUAUGUCUUUGAUGUAGUUUGUUUUUAUUUGUCACAGAAGUAGUUCGUCGGCCUUUCUCUUUCAUCUUCCCCUUUCCCUUUCAUGUUCGAGUGAGAGUUUUCCCCCUGCUCUUAACAGGGUCGUGAAAGCAUAGAGGUGUCGUUGAGGAAGCUUUCCUCCUUGUCGAUCAACCAAGUCUUUGUUUACGUCGAGACGAGGUCUUCCCC
Molecule: long non-coding RNA, 399 nt
Filed under: Elaeis guineensis (African oil palm)
Lineage: Eukaryota; Viridiplantae; Streptophyta; Magnoliopsida; Arecales; Arecaceae
Description: long non-coding RNA (EGUI_LNC056997)
Source: RNAcentral